GAUGAACGCUGGCGGCGUGCUUAACACAUGCAAGUCGAACGGUGAAGCAGGAGCUUGCUCUUGUGGAUCAGUGGCGAACGGGUGAGUAACACGUGAGCAACCUGCCCCUGACUCUGGGAUAAGCGCUGGAAACGGCGUCUAAUACUGGAUAUGUGAUGUGACCGCAUGGUCUGCAUCUGGAAAGAAUUUCGGUUGGGGAUGGGCUCGCGGCCUAUCAGCUUGUUGGUGAGGUAAUGGCUCACCAAGGCGUCGACGGGUAGCCGGCCUGAGAGGGUGACGGGCCACACUGGGACUGAGACACGGCCCGGACUCCUACGGGAGGCAGCAGUGGGGAAUAUUGCACAAUGGGCGGAAGCCUGAGGCAGCAACGCCGCGUGAGGGAUGACGGCCUUCGGGUUGUAAACCUCUUUUAGCAGGGAAGAAGCGAAAGUGACGGUACCUGCAGAAAAAGCACCGGCUAACUACGUGCCAGCAGCCGCCGUAA
This 484-nucleotide ribosomal RNA is filed under the name uncultured bacterium. RNAcentral's name for it is "partial 16S ribosomal RNA". It matches the Rfam family "Bacterial small subunit ribosomal RNA", at positions 28 to 523 of the family's 1533-position model. The record is from RNAcentral.